This 477-nucleotide ribosomal RNA is filed under the name uncultured bacterium. Its description in RNAcentral is "partial 16S ribosomal RNA". It matches the Rfam family "Bacterial small subunit ribosomal RNA", at positions 30 to 507 of the family's 1533-position model. The record is from RNAcentral.
AUUGAACGCUGGCGGCAUGCCUUACACAUGCAAGUCGAACGGUAACAGCUUAAGCUGACGAGUGGCGAACGGUAGCGUAAUGUAACGUACCCUCCCCAUCCGUGUGGGAUAACUGCUCUAAAGAUCAUCUAAUACCGCAUCCGACCUGAGGGUGUAUGCGGGGGAUCGCAAGACCUGGCUCGAUUUGAGCGGUCGAUAUCAUAUUAGGUAGUUGGGGAGGCAAAGGGUCACUAAGCUGACGAUCUGUAGCUGGUCUCAGAGGGAGAACAGCCACACUGGGAGUGAGACACGGCCCAGACUCCGACGGGGAGCAGCAGUGGGGAAUUUUGGACGAGGGGCGAAAGGCUGAUACAGCCAAGCCGGGUGCAGGAAGAAGGACUUCGGGUUGGAAAGCGAUUUUGUCAGGGAAGAAAAAGAUCUGGCUAACACCUGGGGAUAAUGACGGUACCUGAAGAAUAAGCACCGGCUAACUACGUG